GAUCCUAAGCAGUAAUAAUUCUAGCCUUCUGCUCAUUUGAUGCAGCAAAUAAGCAAGUACUGUUGGGUGGAGAUUAUAUAAAAUCUAAAUCACGGGAUGUCUGAGAAUUUGAAUGUGGUUGUGACUGAAAGAUAUAGGGUUUUUAACGAACAAGAGACCAUUGUGUCACUAGAGCCUCUCCUGUGCAUAUGACAAUGUAAUGUGAGAUGACAGGGGGGUGGUCAGUUCACAGGAUGAUCUUCUGCAACCAUGCAGAUGAUUAAUCAUUUUAAUACCAAGUACGUUUGUAACCAAACAAUAUCCAAAAUAUGUAAAUGAAUCACAACUUUAUAUCCUGGCAACUUGGCAACUGUGAACUUUUAUACACUGUCUCAAGUAGUAAAAUCAUAUUUAGCAACAUUGCACAAUGUACAGACAGUAGAUAUAUAUAUGGACUCAAUAAACAUACAGUAAAAUAUUUUAAGCCUUUAUUUCUUGCAAUUUUAAUGAUUAUGGCUUACAGAUAGUGUGAACACAACAUUCAGUGUCUUAGAAAAUUUGACUAUUCUGAAAAAGUUAAAUAGUGGAAGCUCAUUGUGUCACACCCUAAUCAGCUAAUGAGCUCAAAAUGCCUUAACCCUCCUGUUGUCCUUGGAUCAAAAUGACCCGCCACUGUGUUAAAACCCCCCAAAAAAUCCACUAAGUGCUAUUUUUUUAACUUGAAAUUUUAUGACUUUUCCUAGAUUGGCCCCAACAAUAGAAAAAGUGAAAUGUUGCUUUUAUUCACAUUUCCAUAUAAGCUGUACAAAGAAAGGUACAAAGGUGGUCUUCGGGUCAAAAUGACCCGUGAGACAAAUAGAGUUGAAAUCAAGGUCACAGAGUUAUUUACAAACCACAGAAUGUUACAAUGUUUUAGAUGUGUCUCAGAUCAAUCAGUAGCAGAAGUUAACAAGGAAAAUCAGGUGGUGUUCUCGCAGGCUUCAGAAGACCACCUGUUUAUUUCCAGAGGUUAUAAAGAAGUUGCAGAUAACAGGACCCUGAAUUCUGUCUGUGCUGAAGCCAUGAGUGUGCGUUAUACUGCUGAAGACCCUGUAGAGCUGAUUUUCUCAGAUGUCCAACAAGACAACUCUGAUUCAGAAGAGGAAGUGGAAGAUGUGUCCGAAGAAGAAGAUGGGGAGGAAUACAACCCAGAGCAUGAUGAAUCAUCUUCAGAAGAAGAAAACCCUGAAGCUGAAAGAAAGACUUUCCUUUCAAAAAAUGGCAAAAUAACAUGGUCCUGAGCAGCAUAUGACCAACACGGCAGGCAUGCAGAACAAAACAUCAUAAAGAUGACCCCAGGACCCACAACGUAUGCGUUUCUCAUGCCCAUGAUAUUGUCUCUACAUUCUACUUGUUUAUCACACCAGCAAUCGAAAAAAUAAUUCUGGGGAUGACAAAUCUGGAGGGUUUUCGCAAAUAUGGAGACAGCUGGAAAAAGAUGGAUGAGAUUGACCUGCAGGCCUACUUAGGGCUGCUAAUCUUAGCAGGUGUAUAGAGGUCCCAAGGUGAGGCUGCAGCUAGUCUAUGGAAUGCUGAGAGUGGAAGGCCAAUUUUCCAAGCCACAAUGCCACUCAAAGUCUUUCACACCUCCUCAAGACUGCUACGAUUUGAUGACCGUGAGUCAAGACCAGCAAGACUUGUGACAGACAAACCUGCAACCAUAAGAGAGGUAUGGGACAAGUGGGUGGAGCGGCUGCCCUACUUCUACAAUCCAGGACCUGACGUAACAGUGGAUGAACAACUGGUUCCAUUUAGAGGUCGUUGUUCUUUCUGGCAGUAUAUGCCCAGCAAGCCAGCAAAAUAUGGGACCAAGUCAUGAGUGGCUUGCGAUGCCAAAUCAAGCUAUGCUUGGAAAAUGCAAGUCUAUACUGGCAAGCCGACCAGUGGAUGCCCAGAGAAGAAUCAGGGGAUGCGAGUUGUGCCACGUGACGUGACAAUUUCUUCACCUCUUAUGAACUCGGACCGCAGCUCCUGAAGAGGAAGAUCACCAUGAUUGGUACAGUUCGAAAGAAUAAGCCUGAGCUCCCACCUGCACUGAGAGGUCUUCUCCUCAAAGUUUGCCUUCACGCCCAACACUACUCUAGUUUCCUACCUCCCAAAGAAAAACAAGAAUGUAGUUCUUCUGAGCACACUGCACACAGACGGUGACAUUAGCGAUCGUGAGGACAGGAAGCUAAUCAUCAUCCUAGACUACAACCGCAACAAAGGAGGUGUGGACAACCUGGAUAAGAUGAUUGGAACAUAUAGCUGCAGAAGAAUGACUGCCCGCUGGCCUCUGGUCAUCUUCCACAACAUCAUUGAUGUUUCCUCCUUUGUGAUUUGGAGAGGGAUCAACCCAACCUGGAUGUCUCAUAAGCAGAACAAGAGGAGGUUGUUCCUGGAGCAGCUAGGAAAGGCACUUGUAACUCCACUCAUUGAAAGAAGGAAGCAUGUCCCCCGCACAGAACCCUCAGCAGCAGUUGUGAAAGCUAUUCAGAGUGCAGAAGCUCCUGAUCAACCUGAGGAUCCAUCUACCACAGCCCUUCCCCAGCUAGGGCAAGUAAGAGGAAGACAUGUCAGUUCUGCCCUCAAAAGAAGGACUGCAAAACACAUACUGUGUGCUGCAGGUGUAAGAAAUAUAUCUGCAAGGGCUGUACACUUGUAUACUGCCCUACAUGUGCUAAUUGGUUGAAUGGUUUGUUAUUUUUCAUAUUUUUGUAUUGUACAUUGUCUUAAAUUGUUCACUGGAGAAAAUAAAUGAAACUGAGUCAGUGGGAUUAAUAAAAAUGUAUUCAAGACUC
Girardinichthys multiradiatus is the source of this 2798-nucleotide long non-coding RNA. RefSeq lists it as uncharacterized. The record is from RefSeq and is a predicted model, not a curated record. The transcript is spliced from 2 exons. Lineage: Eukaryota; Metazoa; Chordata; Actinopteri; Cyprinodontiformes; Goodeidae.